AGUGAACGCUGGCGGUAGGCCUAACACAUGCAAGUCGAACGGCAGCACAGGAGAGCUUGCUCUCUGGGUGGCGAGUGGCGGACGGGUGAGGAAUACAUCGGAAUCUACUCUGUCGUGGGGGAUGACGUAGGGAAACUUACGCUAAUACCGCAUACGACCUACGGGUGAAAGCAGGGGACCUUCGGGCCUUGCGUGAUUGAAUGAGCCGAUGUCGGAUUAGCUAGUUGGCGGGGUAAAGGCCCACCAAGGCGACGAUCCGUAGCUGGUCUGAGAGGAUGAUCAGCCACACUGGAACUGAGACACGGUCCAGACUCCUACGGGAGGCAGCAGUGGGGAAUAUUGGACAAUGGGCGCAAGCCUGAUCCAGCCAUACCGCGUGGGUGAAGAAGGCCUUCGGGUUGUAAAGCCCUUUUGUUGGGAAAGAAAUCCAGCUGGCUAAUACCCGGUUGGGAUGACGGUACCCAAAGAAUAAGCACCGGCUAACUUCGUGCCAGCAGCCGCCGUAA
RNAcentral lists this ribosomal RNA (506 nucleotides) under uncultured bacterium. RNAcentral's name for it is "partial 16S ribosomal RNA". It matches the Rfam family "Bacterial small subunit ribosomal RNA", at positions 29 to 523 of the family's 1533-position model. The record is from RNAcentral.